This 240-nucleotide unclassified non-coding RNA is filed under the name soil metagenome. Its description in RNAcentral is "partial contains 5.8S ribosomal RNA, internal transcribed spacer 2, and large subunit ribosomal RNA". The record is from RNAcentral.
AACGCACGAGACCUGCGGACCUGCGGAGGGAUCAUUAAUGAGAAACUGCCCCUCGCGGGUAGAUCUCCCACCCUUUGUAAACUUACCUUUGUUGCUUUGGCAGGCCCGUCCCCGGACCGCCGGCUUCGGCUGGCCAGUGCCUGCCAGAGGAUUCUAAAACUCUGUCUGUCAGUGUUGUCUGAGUCUAUAUACAAUCGUUAAAACUUUUAGCAAUGGAUCUCUAGAUCGGAAGAGCACACG